Rhagoletis pomonella (apple maggot) is the source of this 1479-nucleotide long non-coding RNA. RefSeq lists it as uncharacterized. The transcript is spliced from 2 exons. The record is from RefSeq and is a predicted model, not a curated record. Lineage: Eukaryota; Metazoa; Arthropoda; Insecta; Diptera; Tephritidae.
CUCACAUAAAUCUUAAUAUGUUACCGAAAUAUUUUGGCGGAAGUCUUAGAAUAUAAUAAAUUUUAUAAUUCCUUUGGAAAACCCGCAACGUUCUUUGGUGAUGCACCCUUAUGUACAUAGAUAUAUUUUUAUUUAAUUUCUUUUUUACAACAGAAAAUCCCUUUUUUUGUAAAUAUAAAUUCUAAAUUGUAAAAACGCGGUAAUAACCCAAAUCCAUGUUUUUAAGUACAUAUACAUAUACUAUAUAUGUAUGUAUUUAUGUAUAGAGUUCCAAAAGUACCCAGUCUGUAAUUGCACAACACUUCUUUGUAAAUAUGUAAACGCUUCCAGGCAGUACUUACUUUUGGAAGUUCCGUUAGAAGUUUACCAGUAUUUAGCGGUAGCCAAAGUGGCAGAGACAGGUCUUCAUAGCGUGGUAUCACAAAUAGAAAGGAUUUGCCCUAGGGGAAACUCAUUCCCUGCUGAAGUCGAAAACCAGAAGUCUGAUGAGCUGAUGUGGUGAUCUCCGAAAUAACAGCUAUCUAGCGCUUACUCUUUGUUGCUCUUUCAAUUUUUUCUGAAAAUAAAUUUUGGUAUAAAGCUGAAAAAUUUGUUGAAGUAAAUAGCUGUUUUUUGGUAAUUAAGAUAGUAGUCUUUGGAAUUUUUCCGCUGUCAUCACCCAGAAUUAUGGAAAAUAAAAAAAAUAGGAAACCCAUAUUUUUUUUUUUUUUUUGAAAUCGGUUACAACUCUUUAAUGAUGCCACCAGGACUUUAAAUUUUUCCAUGUAAAUAUAAUUUUUCGUGCAACUGUUAUAACACCGUUAAAAAUAAAAUAAAUAUUUUUUUUCGAAUAAAAUAAUUUCCCUUCAGAAAUCUUCGAAAACAAUUAGGAUACAUAUUUUACUUAAAAAUUUUACCAACUAUUUUUACUCCGAAAAUCGGGGGAACGAACCGAACCGAAUCAUUUUUUGGAGUGGUUUUUGGUUCGGUUUUGGGAUUUUAAAAUAAAAACGGUUCGGUUCGGAGCCCGAAAAAAAGCGACGGUUCGGUUCAAAACCGGUUUGCAGCCCUGAUUUUUACAGUUCGUGCGCGAUUUGGUUACGAAUACAUAAAUAAGAGAUAAGACUAUCGGCUAUAAGUUCCGUCAUUGCGAGAGUCGUGUCGAAUGCAUGUCGUUUUUCGAGAGUCAAAUCGUAUCGAAAAUUUCAUGUCAUUGGCUAAAAUUUCCGCUCGACUGGUGUAUUAAAACGGAAAAACUUGGCAGCACUGCAUAGUUUUCGACGAUUUUCGUCGUUUACUUAUUUCAGCACGACAGUAGGCAAUGCCAAUGUUGCCAAGUCGUACAAUUCAAUUUGAAGAUUUCUGAAGUGAAAUAUUUUUAUUCUAUCGAAAAAUAUUUAAUUUUAACGAUUGUAUAGCAGUUCUAUACAAAAAGAAUUUUCUUGUAAAAUACAUGGGAAACUUCAAAGCUCUGGCAGCACCAAUAAAUGUUAACCAAUU